This is a long non-coding RNA of Bactrocera dorsalis (oriental fruit fly), 2457 nucleotides long. RefSeq lists it as uncharacterized. The transcript is spliced from 2 exons. The record is from RefSeq and is a predicted model, not a curated record. Lineage: Eukaryota; Metazoa; Arthropoda; Insecta; Diptera; Tephritidae.
ACUGUGAAAUAUAAAUGUCAUUGCAAGUUUAAAUAGCAUUGAAACAUGAGCCGAGUAGGCACCUAGUGAAAUCAGGUAAAUAAGAUUGAGGGCCGAUUGCCGAACGCGAAAUAUUUUAUUAAUGUCCUAUAGUAAAAUCCAUUCUACUUAUAUUGAAAGAGAAAUUGAGAGAUAAAAAGUUGCACUCUCGCUGUUUAGGUUCAUUCCAGUGCAGAGUGUGUGAGAAUGUUUGUUUGCAUUUGUGAGGGUUAAGGUCACGAAGCAGUAAUUAUUUAUACUAUACAUGUAUAGCAUCUAAUGAUGUCAUAAUGAUGUUGAAAACAUUCAAUAUCGAAAUUUUAAAUGCCUUCUCCAAAAUGCAAGUUCAAAUAUGCUACAACCAAAUGUCAAAAGCAAAUAUUUAACAAAACAAUUUUAUCUGCAAUCUUUUAGCUUGGUCUAGAACCAAAUCGUUCAUAUGCAGAACGGGCGAAUGUUCUUUUGUAAAGUUUUAAUUCACGAGUUACAUAAAUUAGAUAUAUUCUGUACGCAUUUUUUCAGUUUGUUGAUUUACCUUCCCAGUGGACCACAAGGUUUUUUACGGAGUUGCAUCUUAAAGCUAUUUUAGAAUCUUGAAUCAUAUGUUAUUUGUCGAUCUAUUUUUCAGACACUGCACACAAAAUAAAGGCUUUUGUUUUAGCUAAUCACUAAUUAUUCUCCUUAAAGUCAUGUAAUAGUCUACAGCAGUAAUCAUUAAUCAAUUAAUAAAUAAGGAACGGCUAAGUUCUGAUGUAACCGAACAUUUCAUACUUUGCAACUUAUCAGGAUAAAAGCAGAGGAAAUAUCUCCAGGUGCUUGCAAAACUUUAUUUAGAAAUGUUGGUAAUUCGUGGACCAACUUCACAUAUUUUUGGCAAUACACUAGAGUAUAUCAAAUAUUAUACCUUCAGUAAUUUUGCUAAGAUAUCAUACAUGUUGGACAAUUUAUAAGGAGUAAAGUCAAAUUAGAAUCAUGUCAAAGUUCACGCAAGUGAGGAAAGUUCUCUGAUCGCCAUUCAUUUGGGAGUGGCCAGAAAAGAUUCAAGCAGCUCACGACUUUCGGUCUUUGCCCAAGUAUUCUCUGGGUAGCCAAAGAACAUUCGUUUGAAAGUGAGCAAAAGUGAGAAGGCGAAACAACCCCUACACAGGGUUGUGCGCUGGGUUUGAGGCCCGCUACGUAAAGAGGCCCCAAUGAACAGUAAAAAACAGCCACGGAUAUCCCCUUUUGAUGACGACCAUGGCAAACGAAAUAAGGUUUACGAUUUGAGGGCAUGCACCUGGAAUGUCCGGUCCCUUAAUUGGGAAAGUGCCGCUGCCCAGCUAGUUGAUGUCCGGGUGAAAAUAAAGGCUGACAUCACCGCCAUCCAAGAAAUGCGAUGGACGGGGCAAGGACUGAGGCGAGUAGGUCCUUGUGGCAUUUACUACAUUGGCCAGUGGGAUUCAUGAUGGGAGAGAGGCUCCGUCUCCGAGUACUGUCAUUCACUCCGGUGGAUGAACGUCUAGCCACAAUCCGUAUCAAAGCGAAGUUCUUCAACAUAUCGCUGAUUUGCGCUCACGUCCCGUUGGAAGAGAAGGACGAUGUGACUAAAAAUGUAUGUGCGUCUUCCACGAAACUUCUGUUUAAUAUAUGCCAACACAAUUUCAAUAGGGUUUGCAUCGGGCGACCAAAUCCAAUGUAACGAUGCCAGAUUUAGUUUUCCACUGAGUACUGAGUUUGCUGCGGUGUUUAGGAUCGUUGUCCUCCUGCAGAAUCCAAUCUUCAGAUAGCAGUAAAGCCUUUUUGUAUAUUUUUACCAUUUUCUCGGCAUUUAGGUUGUCAGUAAAGAGGUACAAAGUGCCGAAUCCCUGCUUUGAGUAUCAGCCCUAAAGAUGUACUUUUAUUCCAUGUUUUACGGUCCGCUGAACAAGCCUAUUGGUGGAAGUUGACCAGGCUCGCGUAAGGACAGAACGUGCCCAUAUAGAACAUUCAUCAGUAAAAAUGACAUUUUCAAAAUCUCUAACAAUAUUCUCAUGCGCCCAAGCGAGUCGCUUUGUCAUAAUUUUUUCAGUCAACAGAGGCUUCUUCAUUGUGUUGCGCCAUUUCAGUGUGAAGUCAGUAUGUAUGUCAGUCAGUAUGAAGAAGGGUUCGGAUAGUUUUGUAGGAUAUAUCUAAACCUUUUGCCAUUAAUUUUGCUUGUCCUUGCCACAGUUUUAAAGCAGGAUUUUCGCGAAAACAGAUUCACUAUUCUUUUUCAUCUUUUUUGUUCACUUUUCCUAUCGAACCACGUUCUGGUAAAUCAUCAACAUUUUUAACCACUAUAUAUCGCUGUAUCCACUUCUGUACAAAUGUCUUCGACUUUCUCAUAUAUUUAGCAGCCGCUGCUUGCGACAUUUUGGGACCUUUCGGGUGGAUGCAAAGGAACACAGCUUCGUAGUGCGACGAGUACUUAGCACUCAUGGC